AAUAGUUUAAUUAUUUGCCGCCUUCUCUUUCCUCCAGCAACUCCAUCUCCUCCGUCCCUCGCUCUGCUGGCACCCUCCGCGUCUCUCUCAUCAUGUGAUGAUGAUGGACAAGUCAGGGUGGUGUGUCUGGCACAGGGUUUUGUUCCCGAUAGCGCCACUCUGUCCUGGUCUGAUAACGGCAACGCUGUAGCGGGUUCUGAGGUGCAGACGAGUUCUUCUGAGCGUCAGUCUGACGGCACCUUCAUCCAAAGCAGCAUGCUGAAACUCAGCCCUGAGGGCUGGAGCUCCGGACGAACCUACACGUGCCACGUGAACCACCCGGCUCUGUCAGCACCGCUGAGUCAGAGCACCAGUGCUGAGAAGUGCAGCUAGACAGCUGGAGAGAUGGAUGUGCUGAAUGUAGUACUGUAGUCAUCAGCAUGAAGAGAGGAGAAAGUGAUAAAAUCAUCUUUUAAAAACAGCUGCUUUGCUUCAUGUCUCAGAGAAUUUUUCUCUGUGUUUCUGCUUGUGUUUAGAGUCGAUGUAGAAUAUUUCAUGUUCUUGUAUUUGCAUGGCUAAUUACAAGAGUUUUCCUCAAUAAAGUGAUUAUAAGAGACAAAA
Non-coding RNA from Clarias gariepinus (North African catfish), 600 nucleotides. NCBI's taxonomy places the organism in Eukaryota, Metazoa, Chordata, Actinopteri, Siluriformes, Clariidae. The record is from the annotation of a RefSeq genome assembly.